This 208-nucleotide unclassified non-coding RNA is filed under the name uncultured Agaricales. RNAcentral's name for it is "sequence contains ITS2". The record is from RNAcentral. Lineage: Eukaryota; Fungi; Basidiomycota; Agaricomycetes; Agaricales.
AAUUCUCAACCUUAUCAGUUUAUUUCUGAUAGUGGCUUGGAUGUGGGGGUUUUUCUUGCUGGCUCCUUCAUCGAGGUCAGCUCCCCUUAAAUGCAUUAGCUGGUGCCCUGUGUGGACUGUCGUCUAUUGGUGUGAUAAUUAUCGACGCCAUGGAUGUCUGCUAUUAGCACUGCUUCUAACCGUCUGUUAAUUCGGACAAUACAUGACA